CAGUCCCUGUGGCGUGAGGAAAGGGCAGAGAUGUGGCAAUAAACUCAGAGCUGUGGCUAAACUGGAAACACAAUACAGUGGCAUGGUGUCCAGAGAACCUUGCUGAGACCCAGAUGUGCCAGGCCUUUUGUUCAAACAAUCUUACCAAAAACCAAAGUUCGCUAAGGCGGUGAAUACGAGCAGGCCUGUACCGAGGACACGGGCAGUGAUCUUCAUGGCAUCCCAGAGCUUCUCUUCCUGUGAGCAAGCAACAAGACUCCAGUGCAGCAGUUUCCAAACUCUGAUCCAUGGAUCGCUUGAGAUCUUGCCUCUAAAGGCAGAUAUAGGCUUGGCAGAUUCUUUAAGUGCAGAACAGGAUUGCUGCCUGCAAAGUAAAGAGACUGGGGCGCAUCAGCUGGAGACACGUUGUUCAGCGGGACCGCUCUGAGUCACAGCUUUUGGUGACAGUCGAGUGUUGUGGUCUCCUGCCACACUUCAAAGGUAACAGACCCUCCAGCACUUGGUGGUGGAGCUGCAGUCCACUGGAAGGGAAGAAAAGCUGGGAAAAUGUUGCUGUAGUGAUAAGAAAUGACCUCCUAGUUGCGCUAAAGUGAUCAGAGCAUGGAUGUGUCUGUCGCUUCUCUUAGAAGAUAAUUCAACACAUGCUGCCUUUAAAAGGUGACCUUGAGCCUUUACCUGCUUCUGCUGCUCAGCCAUGGUGGAAUAUCCAGUGUCUCUUUUCAUCUGAAAUAAGAUGUGAUCUAAGUAAGUGAACCUUGUACAGCUGGAAAGUGGAAUAACACACUGCUGACAACAGCAAAACCCCUCAACUUCGAGCUCACUUGCAAAACUGUAAAAUAUUUACCCUGUCCUGCUCCCUCCUUCAUGUUGGCCUUGGAGCAAAGCUGAGCUCUUGAGAAGAAAAAUGCCCCUAUUUCCUGAUGAGUUAGUCUUGUCUCAGAAGACUAAUAGGGAUGGAAGGGUAACACAGCAAAAAUGGGAGAUCAGCCAAAACUAAAGCUCUAGAUUGUGGCACUGGGGUGUUGUGGCACAGCUGCCUCCCUCCAUCUGGCCUGAGGACACAUGGCGUUCAGUGGGAACUCCCACCAUUCACAGAUCGCCAAGAAAACGAUGGAACGGGACGUGGGCUCUUCCGUAAUGACGGCGUGCUGUUAAACUAACACAAACUAAAACAAAAAUGUGACUACAACAAUAGGAGUUUGCGCCACGAAGAAUUAAUGCAGUAAAAAGUUACAGCUUGAGACUGCGGUUAUCUCCUAAAUAUUGGUACCAAACAGGGACAGCUCAGCGUAUCAGUCCUAAGAAUGUGAACGUCAUUCAUCUUUUGCUGCAGGUCUGUGCCCAGCGCAGGUUGGUAGUAACCUAAAAGUUGCUUCUGUUGGCUGGUGUGUGCCCUGCACUGGUGUCCUCACCACAAACCCUCCAUGUUUGUGCAAACAUUGCUGAGGUGUGCAAAGAGUCCGAUUUCCCCUCAGCAAAGAGGCUUUUCGAUCAGACCCUUCCUAAAAUAUAUUUAUCUUUGUUCAUUCUCCACAGUUUCUUAAUAGCCACUAUUAAUUACCUUUCAGGAUCGUACAAACCCGCACUGAUAGCUCCUCUAACAUCAAAGAAGAAUCUGAAAUUAGUGCACCUCACCUAAUUGUUAAUUACCUGUCGGGGAUUGGCUCAAGGAGCACAGACAUGAGUCCACCAAGCAACUGUACGAGCAGAGCCCAUUUUAGUUGACAUAAGUAGGCCUUAGUUAGCUUGUCUAUUAGGCCAUGGGAAAGGGGGGAACGGAAAAGUACUAACUAAGGCAGGGUCAGGAUAUUUUUGAAGAGAUAAGAGUCAGAAGAAUGUGGGAUGCGCAUAGCUAGCUAAACCCAAGUAGGUGGAGUAAGUAAAUGUGCUUAGCCUAUUAGAUAGAGACAAGUAUGCAUA
This is a long non-coding RNA of Columba livia (rock pigeon), 1920 nucleotides long. RefSeq lists it as uncharacterized. The record is from RefSeq and is a predicted model, not a curated record. The transcript has 4 exons. Lineage: Eukaryota; Metazoa; Chordata; Aves; Columbiformes; Columbidae.